GAUGAACGCUGGCGGCGUGCCUAAGACAUGCAAGUCGAACGAAGCAUCGAUCUUGGAUCCCUUCGGGGUGAAGAGGUCGAUGACUUAGUGGCGAACGGGUGAGUAACACGUGAGUGACCU
This 120-nucleotide ribosomal RNA is filed under the name uncultured bacterium. Its description in RNAcentral is "partial 16S ribosomal RNA". It matches the Rfam family "Bacterial small subunit ribosomal RNA", at positions 28 to 127 of the family's 1533-position model. The record is from RNAcentral.